CCUACGGGUGGCUGCAGUCGAGAAUCAUUCACAAUGGGGGAAACCCUGAUGGUGCGACGCCGCGUGGGGGAAUGAAGGUCUUCGGAUUGUAAACCCCUGUCAUGUGGGAGCAAAUUAAAAAGAUAGUACCACAAGAGGAAGAGACGGCUAACUCUGUGCCAGCAGCCGCGGUAAUACAGAGGUCUCAAGCGUUGUUCGGAAUCACUGGGCGUAAGGCGUGCGUAGGCUGUUGCGUAAGUCGUGUGUGAAAGGCGCGGGCUCAACCCGCGGACGGCACAUGAUACUGCGAGACUAGAGUAAUGGAGGGGGAACCGGAAUUCUCGGUGUAGCAGUGAAAUGCGUAGAUAUCGAGAGGAACACUCGUGGCGAAGGCGGGUUCCUGGACAUUAACUGACGCUGAGGCACGAAGGCCAGGGGAGCGAAAGGGAUUAGAUACCCCAGUAGUC
This 446-nucleotide ribosomal RNA is filed under the name uncultured bacterium. Its description in RNAcentral is "partial 16S ribosomal RNA". It matches the Rfam family "Bacterial small subunit ribosomal RNA", at positions 338 to 795 of the family's 1533-position model. The record is from RNAcentral.